UACGUAGGUCCCGAGCGUUGUCCGGAUUUAUUGGGCGUAAAGCGAGCGCAGGUGGUUUAAUAAGUCUGAUGUAAAAGGCAGUGGCUCAACCAUUGUGUGCAUUGGAAACUGUUAGACUUGAGUGCAGUAGAGGAGAGUGGAAUUCCAUGUGUAGCGGUGAGAUGCGUAGAUAUAUGGAGGAACACCGGUGGCGAAAGCGGCUCUCUGGACUGUAACUGACACUGAGGCUCGAAAGCGUGGGUAGCAAACAGG
RNAcentral lists this ribosomal RNA (252 nucleotides) under uncultured microorganism. RNAcentral describes it as "partial 16S ribosomal RNA". It matches the Rfam family "Bacterial small subunit ribosomal RNA", at positions 524 to 776 of the family's 1533-position model. The record is from RNAcentral.